GAGGCUCAGCAGCCUGAGCACUAGCUGGCUGCAGCUGCGGCUCUUCAGGUCCCAGCACUAGCUCGUUGAGGGUUAGCUCAGAGCUGCCUUGGGAGAGUUGUCUUACUGUGUGGGUGGUAGAGAGCUGUGCCUCUCCAAGUGGAAGGUGACUCGAGGCAGCACGAGCAGUCUCAUGGGAUACGCAGCAGUAGGGUUCAGCACACCUGGCCAAAAGCUCAUCGUUGUUAUGUGAGUCAGCAGAUGGAAGCAGCUCUCCUGCUAAAUGUGCUGAUCCCAGGAAGCUGUCACUGUAUCCUGCCUGCUGCAGAGGAGUUACGUGCGUUGCAGUGACAGCAUGUCAGUCUCUGGCAAUGAAACACAGCAUAAGAAGUGAUGCUCACUUGUGUGAGAGAGGUGUAUGGUACCCAAGUGAUUUGCAUGAGCGCAGGAGGCACAGCUGGGAACAGCUUCGCCCUUCCCUAAUCCUGAGUAUGCAUGUGGGAAAGUGCUGA
RNAcentral lists this long non-coding RNA (491 nucleotides) under Anas platyrhynchos platyrhynchos (common mallard). RNAcentral's name for it is "lncRNA (ENSAPLG00000017279.1)". The record is from RNAcentral. Lineage: Eukaryota; Metazoa; Chordata; Aves; Anseriformes; Anatidae.